GACGAACGCUGGCGGCGUGCUUAACACAUGCAAGUCGAACGAAGAGCGAUGGAAGCUUGCUUCUAUCAAUCUUAGUGGCGAACGGGUGAGUAACGCGUAAUCAACCUGCCCUUCAGAGGGGGACAACAGUUGGAAACGACUGCUAAUACCGCAUACGAUCUAAUCUCGGCAUCGAGGAUAGAUGAAAGGUGGCCUCUACAUGUAAGCUAUCACUGAAGGAGGGGAUUGCGUCUGAUUAGCUAGUUGGAGGGGUAACGGCCCAACAAGGCGAUGAUCAGUAGGCGGUCUGAGAGGAUGAACGGCCACAUUGGGACUGAGACAAGGCCCAGACUCCUACGGGAGGCAGCAGUGGGGAAUCUUCCGCAAUGGACGAAAGUCUGACGGAGCAACGCCGCGUGAGUGAUGACGGCCUUCGGGUUGUAAAGCUCUGUUAAUCGGGACGAAAGGCCUUCUUGCGAAUAGUGAGAAGGAUUGACGGUACCGGAAUAGAAAGCCACGGCUAACUACGUG
This 510-nucleotide ribosomal RNA is filed under the name uncultured bacterium. Its description in RNAcentral is "partial 16S ribosomal RNA". It matches the Rfam family "Bacterial small subunit ribosomal RNA", at positions 28 to 507 of the family's 1533-position model. The record is from RNAcentral.